Molecule: ribosomal RNA, 253 nt
Filed under: uncultured bacterium
Lineage: Bacteria
Description: partial 16S ribosomal RNA
Rfam family: Bacterial small subunit ribosomal RNA
Source: RNAcentral
UACAGAGGUGGCGAGCGUUGUUCGGAUUUACUGGGCGUAAAGGGCGCGUAGGCGGCCGCGUGUGUGGGGUGUGAAAUCUCCGGGCUCAACCCGGAAAGUGCGCCCCAAACUGCGCGGCUCGAGUUCGGGAGGGGGGAUCGGAAUACAGGGUGUAGCGGUGAAAUGCGUUGAUAUCCUGUAGAACACCGGUGGCGAAGGCGGAUCCCUGGAACGAAACUGACGCUGAGGCGCGAAAGCAGGGGGAGCAAACAGG